GAUGAACGCUGGCGGCGUGCCUAAUACAUGCAAGUCGAGCGAACAGACGAGGAGCUUGCUCCUCUGACGUUAGCGGCGGACGGGUGAGUAACACGUGGAUAACCUACCUAUAAGACUGGGAUAACUUCGGGAAACCGGAGCUAAUACCGGAUAAUAUAUUGAACCGCAUGGUUCAAUAGUGAAAGACGGUUUUGCUGUCACUUAUAGAUGGAUCCGCGCCGCAUUAGCUAGUUGGUAAGGUAACGGCUUACCAAGGCGACGAUGCGUAGCCGACCUGAGAGGGUGAUCGGCCACACUGGAACUGAGACACGGUCCAGACUCCUAAGGGAGGCAGCAGUAGGGAAUCUUCCGCAAUGGGCGAAAGCCUGACGGAGCAACGCCGCGUGAGUGAUGAAGGUCUUCGGAUCGUAAAACUCUGUUAUUAGGGAAGAACAAAUGUGUAAGUAACUAUGCACGUCUUGACGGUACCUAAUCAGAAAGCCACGGCUAACUACGUG
This 497-nucleotide ribosomal RNA is filed under the name uncultured bacterium. Its description in RNAcentral is "partial 16S ribosomal RNA". It matches the Rfam family "Bacterial small subunit ribosomal RNA", at positions 28 to 507 of the family's 1533-position model. The record is from RNAcentral.